Neltuma alba is the source of this 201-nucleotide long non-coding RNA. RefSeq lists it as uncharacterized. The transcript is spliced from 3 exons. Lineage: Eukaryota; Viridiplantae; Streptophyta; Magnoliopsida; Fabales; Fabaceae. The record is from RefSeq and is a predicted model, not a curated record.
AUUUUGAUGCUCAAAGAGAUAUAUGGGGAGAACUUCUCCGUCCUGUUGAAAUAUGUCUUUUUUACCGAGCUAAAUUUCAAAGCCAGCAAUCAGAAUAUGCAUCUCAUGCAGUUCCCGUUAAUUUUUAUUGCAGAACUAAAGAGCUUAACAUAUGCCUUUGUGAGCUAUCAUUGGACGUACUUCUCUUCAUGAUUGGAAAAC